RNAcentral lists this ribosomal RNA (468 nucleotides) under uncultured bacterium. Its description in RNAcentral is "partial 16S ribosomal RNA". It matches the Rfam family "Bacterial small subunit ribosomal RNA", at positions 28 to 507 of the family's 1533-position model. The record is from RNAcentral.
GACGAACGCUGGCGGCGUGCUUAACACAUGCAAGUCGAACGGAAAGGCCCUGCUUUUGUGGGGUGCUCGAGUGGCGAACGGGUGAGUAACACGUGAGUAACCUGCCCUUGACUUUGGGAUAACUCCAGGAAACUGGGGCUAAAACCGGAUAGGAGCUCCUGCUGCAUGGUGGGGGUUGGAAAGUUUCGGCGGUUGGGGAUGGACUCGCGGCUUAUCAGCUUGUUGGUGGGGUAGUGGCUUACCAAGGCUUUGACGGGUAGCCGGCCUGAGAGGGUGACCGGCCACAUUGGGACUGAGAUACGGCCCAGACUCCUACGGGAGGCAGCAGUGGGGAAUAUUGCACAAUGGGCGGAAGCCUGAUGCAGCAACGCCGCGUGCGGGAUGACGGCCUUCGGGUUGUAAACCGCUUUCGCCUGUGACGAAGCGUGAGUGACGGUAAUGGGUAAAGAAGCACCGGCUAACUACGUG